CACCGCCUGGGGAGUACGACCGCAAGGUUAAAACUCAAAUGAAUUGACGGGGACCCGCACAAGUAGUGGAGCAUGUGGUUUAAUUCGAAGAUACGCGCAGAACCUUACCAACACUUGACAUGUUCGCCGCGACUUUAAGAGAUUAAAGUUUUCGGUUCGGCCGGACGAAACACAGGUGCUGCAUGGCUGUCGUCAGCUCGUGUCGUGAGAUGUUGGGUUAAGUCCCGCAACGAGCGCAACCCUCACUUUUAGUUGCCAUCAUUUAGUUGGGCACUCUGAAAGAACUGCCAGUGAUAAGCUGGAGGAAGGUGGGGAUGACGUCAAGUCCUCAUGGCCCUUACGUGUUGGGCUACACACGUGCUACAAUGGUAUCUACAACAGGAAGCAAAACUGCGAGGUUAAGCAAAUCCUUAAAAGAUACCUCAGUUCGGAUUGCACUCUGCAACUCGAGUGCAUGAAGCUGGAAUUACUAGUAAUCGUGGAUCAGCGUGCCACGGUGAAUGCGUUCCCGGGUCUUGUACACACCGCCCGUCACACCAUGGGAGUUGGUUCUACCUUAAGGCAAGGUUUUAAACCCUUGACCACGGUAUAGUCAGCGACUGGGGUGAAGUCGUAACAAGGUAGCCGUAGGGGAACCUGCGGCUGGAUUACCUCCUUUCUAAGGAUGAGUGAAAUUUUAUUUCAUUCUAAAUAAUUUACAUAGGCAAUGUUGACCGUCCUCAUUUCUCUUCUUAGAUUAGUGUUUCUCUUGCAUGGGGGCCGGUAGCUCAGUUGGUUAGAGCACACCCUUGAUAAGGGUGGGGUCGAAAGUUCGAGUCUUUCUCGGCCCACCAGUAAAAAAAUAUUAAGGGGGAUUAGCUCAGCUGGGAGAGCGCCUGAUUUGCAUUCAGGAGGUCAGCGGUUCGAUCCCGCUAUCCUCCACCAAAAACACUUAGUUAUAAAAAUUGUAAAGAAAAUAAUUAAUAUCAAUAUCUAUAUCCGAACAUUAGUGAUGUUAUUAGCUAAUGUUCAAAAAAAAUUUGAUUCAACACAGAAUUUUUUUCUG
This 1045-nucleotide small RNA is filed under the name uncultured Pelagibacterales bacterium. RNAcentral's name for it is "bacterial SSU rRNA". The stretch from base 1 to 658 matches the Rfam family "Bacterial small subunit ribosomal RNA", at positions 867 to 1533 of the family's 1533-position model. Lineage: Bacteria; Pseudomonadati; Pseudomonadota; Alphaproteobacteria; Candidatus Pelagibacterales. The record is from RNAcentral.